AGGGGUGGAGCUCAGUAGUAGAGCACUCACCUUGCAUGUAUGAGACCCUGGGUUCGAUCCUCAGCACCACAU
Non-coding RNA from Ictidomys tridecemlineatus (thirteen-lined ground squirrel), 72 nucleotides. The record is from Rfam. Lineage: Eukaryota; Metazoa; Chordata; Mammalia; Rodentia; Sciuridae.